This 440-nucleotide ribosomal RNA is filed under the name uncultured bacterium. Its description in RNAcentral is "bacterial SSU rRNA". It matches the Rfam family "Bacterial small subunit ribosomal RNA", at positions 338 to 776 of the family's 1533-position model. The record is from RNAcentral.
CCUACGGGAGGCAGCAGUGAGGAAUAUUGGUCAAUGGACGCAAGUCUGAACCAGCCAAGUAGCGUGCAGGAUGACGGCCCUCCGGGUUGUAAACUGCUUUUAGUUGGGAAUAAAAAAGAGGACGUGUCCUCUCUUGUAUGUACCUUCAGAAAAAGGACCGGCUAAUUCCGUGCCAGCAGCCGCGGUAAUACGGAAGGUCCAGGCGUUAUCCGGAUUUAUUGGGUUUAAAGGGAGCGUAGGCGGAUUAUUAAGUCAGUGGUGAAAGACGGUGGCUCAACCAUCGUUAGCCAUUGAAACUGGUAGUCUUGAGUGCAGACAGGGAUGCUGGAACUCGUGGUGUAGCGGUGAAAUGCUUAGAUAUCACGAUGAACUCCGAUCGCGAAGGCAGGUGUCCGGGCUGCAACUGACGCUGAGGCUCGAAAGUGUGGGUAUCAAACAGG